GGGGGAGUAUAGUAGCAUGGCUGAAACUUAAAGGAAUUGACGUAAGGGCACCACCAGGAGUGGAGCCUGCGGCUUAAUUUGACUCAACACGGGGAAACUUACCAGGUCCAGACAAAGUAAGGAUUGAUAGACUGAGAGCUCUUUCUUGAUUCUAUGGGUGGUGGUGCAUGGCCGUUCUUAGUUGGUGGAGUGAUUUGUCUUCUUAAUUCCGUUAACGAACGAGACCUCAGCCUGCUAACUAGCUUCGUGGAGGCAUCCCUUCAUGGCCGGCUUCUUAGAGGGACUAUGGCCGUUUAGGCCAAGGAAGUUUGAGGCAAUAACAGGUAUGUGAUGCCCUUAGAUGUUAUGGGCCGCACGCGUGCAACACUGAUGUAUUCAACGAGUUCACACCUUGGCCGACAGGCCCGGGUAAUCUUUUAAAUUUCAUCGUGAUGGGGAUAGAUCAUUGCAAUUGUUGGUCUUCAACAAGGAAUUCCUAGUAAGCGCGAGGCAUCAGCUCGUGUUGAUGGCAUUGCCCUUUGUACACACCGCCCGUUGCUCCUACCGAUUGAAUGAUCCGGUGAAGUGUUCAGAUCGCGGCGACGUGGGUGGUUCACCGUCUGCGACGUCGCGAGAAGUCCACUAAACCUUAUCAUUUAGAGGAAGGAGAAGUCGUAACAAAGUUUCCGUUGGUGAACCUGCAGAAG
RNAcentral lists this non-coding RNA (686 nucleotides) under Brassica napus (rape). Its description in RNAcentral is "rRNA SSU_rRNA_eukarya". It matches the Rfam family "Eukaryotic small subunit ribosomal RNA", at positions 1117 to 1823 of the family's 1831-position model. Lineage: Eukaryota; Viridiplantae; Streptophyta; Magnoliopsida; Brassicales; Brassicaceae. The record is from Rfam by way of RNAcentral.